GUAUUUAUAAAUAUAUAUAUAUAUAUAAAUUAAUUUAUUAAUUAUUAAUUUAAAUAUUAUAUUAAAUAAUUUAAUAUAUU
RNAcentral lists this transfer RNA (80 nucleotides) under Heliconius melpomene melpomene. RNAcentral describes it as "partial tRNA-OTHER". Lineage: Eukaryota; Metazoa; Arthropoda; Insecta; Lepidoptera; Nymphalidae. The record is from RNAcentral.